Molecule: ribosomal RNA, 499 nt
Filed under: uncultured bacterium
Lineage: Bacteria
Description: partial 16S ribosomal RNA
Rfam family: Bacterial small subunit ribosomal RNA
Source: RNAcentral
AUCGAACGCUGGCGGCAUGCCUUACACAUGCAAGUCGAACGGCAGCACGGGAGCAAUCCUGGUGGCGAGUGGCGAACGGGUGGGUAAUGUAUCGGAACGUACCAUUGAGUGGGGGAUAACGUAGCGAAAGUUACGCUAAUACCGCAUAUACCCUGAGGGGGAAAGCAGGGGAUCGCAAGACCUUGUGCUCUUUGAGCGGCCGAUAUCAGAUUAGCUAGUUGGUGAGGUAAAGGCUCACCAAGGCGACGAUAUGUAGUGGGUCUGAGAGGCUGAUCCGACAGACUGGAACUGAGACACGGUCCAGACUCCUACAGGAGGCAGCAGUGGGGAAUUUUGGACAAUGGGGGCAACCCUGAUCCAGCCAUGCCGCGUGAGUGAGAAGGCCUUCGGGUCGUAAAGCUCUUUCGGCCGGGAGGAAAUCGCAUCAGCUAAUACCUGGUGUGGAUGACAGUACCGGAAUAAGAAGCACCGGCUAACUACGUGCCAGCCGCCGCGGUAA